This 400-nucleotide unclassified non-coding RNA is filed under the name uncultured fungus. RNAcentral's name for it is "sequence contains ITS1". The stretch from base 1 to 105 matches the Rfam family "5.8S ribosomal RNA", at positions 50 to 154 of the family's 154-position model. The record is from RNAcentral. Lineage: Eukaryota; Fungi.
AAAAUGCGAUAAGUAGCGUGAAUUGCAGACGCUUUGAACGUUAAACCUUCGAACGCACAUUGCGCCAUAGGAGUCUUACCCUAUGGCAUAUCUGGUUGAGGGUCGAGAUCAAACACAGCUAAGCAUGAGCUGUAUUAGUGCUAAUUGAUGAAUCAUCAGGCCAGCAUACGCUUAUUGUUGGCGGUGUUUUGUCAUAAUGCUCUAAAGGGCACACCUUUCAAGGGUGCUUCCUUACCAUGCGGACGGGCUGCCUCGGACAGGAUAGGGGCCGGCCUCCAGGUAUCAUAAACGCCUUAGUGUAUACUUGGUUGGUUCGGACCGUCUCUCGGCUAGUACCGUACGUACCUGGUAGUAGAUUCGAUUUUGAUCGCUUUUCCGACCUCAACUCAGGUGUGAUUAC